Molecule: ribosomal RNA, 606 nt
Filed under: uncultured cyanobacterium
Lineage: Bacteria; Bacillati; Cyanobacteriota
Description: bacterial SSU rRNA
Rfam family: Bacterial small subunit ribosomal RNA
Source: RNAcentral
CGUAAACGAUGAACACUAGGUUUCGGGGGAAUCGACCCCCUCGGUGUCGUAGCCAACGCGUUAAGUGUUCCGCCUGGGGAGUACGCACGCAAGUGUGAAACUCAAAGGAAUUGACGGGGGCCCGCACAAGCGGUGGAGUAUGUGGUUUAAUUCGAUGCAACGCGAAGAACCUUACCAGGGUUUGACAUCCUGCGAAUCCCUUGGAAACGAGGGAGUGCCUUCGGGAGCGCAGUGACAGGUGUGCAUGGCUGUCGUCAGCUCGUGUCGUGAGAUGUUGGGUUAAGUCCCGCAACGAGCGCAACCCCCGUUUUUAGUUGCCAGCAUUUAGUUGGGCACUCUAGAAAGACUGCCGGUGAUAAACCGGAGGAAGGUGUGGAUGACGUCAAGUCAUCAUGCCCCUUACAUCCUGGGCUACACACGUACUACAAUGCUACGGACAAAGGGCAGCAAACUCGCGAGAGCUAGCAAAUCCCAUAAACCGUGGCUCAGUUCAGAUCGUAGGCUGCAACUCGCCUACGUGAAGGCGGAAUCGCUAGUAAUCGCAGGUCAGCAUACUGCGGUGAAUACGUUCCCGGGCCUUGUACACACCGCCCGUCACACCAUGGA